This is a long non-coding RNA of Oncorhynchus tshawytscha (Chinook salmon), 1034 nucleotides long. The record is from Ensembl. Lineage: Eukaryota; Metazoa; Chordata; Actinopteri; Salmoniformes; Salmonidae.
CUCGUCCAUGGUGGUCAGGCAGGGAGAUUCAGGCAGGGAGAGUCUCGUCCAUGGUGGACAGGCAGGGGAAGUCUCGUCCAUGGUGGACAGGCAGGGAGAGUCUCGUACAUGGUGGACAGGCAGGGAGAGUCUCGUACAUGGUGGACAGGCAGGGAGAGUCUCGUCCAUGGUGGACAGGCAGGGAGAGUCUCGUCCAUGGUGGACAGGCAGGGAGAGUCUCGUCCAUGGUGGACAGGCAGGGAGAGUCUCGUCCAUGGUGGACAGGCAGGGAGAGUCUCGUACAUGGUGGACAGGCAGGGAGAGUCUCGUACAUGGUGGACAGGCAGGGAGAGUCUCGUACAUGGUGGACAGGCAGGGAGAGUCUCGUACAUGGUGGACAGGCAGGGAGAGUCUCGUACAUGGUGGACAGGCAGGGAGAGUCUCGUACAUGGUGGACAGGCAGGGAGAGUCUCGUACAUGGUGGACAGGCAGGGAGAGUCUCGUACAUGGUGGACAGCAAACCCUCAACCUUCUGGCCUGUUGGCCCUGCGUGGCAUCAGCUGUGUCACAAAAGAAUGCUGAAGUUGUAAAGACGAUAUGUCCAUGAUUAUAAACACAGGCUUGCUACAGUUUAUUUAUGGUUGUAAUCAUCAUUGUUGUACAUUUUAGAAGGGGGGGGGGGGGUUGGUCCAUCCAGCUAUGUGACAUUGUUUGGUAUGUUUCAUGUGUUUUCUCUUCACGUAUUUAUUAGGGUGUUUAGUAGAGCAGCAAGUCAGCUGGACUUCCUUAGUGGUUACCUGGGUUACCUGGGUUGUUUCCAGACACGUUGUCAAGGUGAUACAGGUGUAAAUAGCUGACUGGACAUUGAUCUGAUUAAUGAGUACGAGAGUGUAUUCACUAGGAAAUAAACUGAAGCAAACAGGGCAAAACGGGGUUGUAUCCACCUGAAUAUGUCAAAUAGAAAUGAGUUGGCACUAAUGAAUAUACCCCAUGCCACAUGAUUCAGGUUGUAUCUGUAACACUGGUUACACCACUGAAAUGAGUUUGCACUAAUG